GGGUCAGUAGGUUGGUCGUGCCACCGGUACGUACUGGUCUCACUUAUUCCUCCUUCCUGAAUAACCGUAAUGCCAUUAAUUUGGUGUUGCGGGGAAACAGGACUGUUACUUUGAAAAAAUUAGAGUGUUUAAAGCAAGCUAACGCUUGAAUACAUUAGCAUGGAAUAAUGAAAUAGGACGAUCGAUCCUAUUUUGUUGGUUUCUAGGAUUGACGUA
This 216-nucleotide ribosomal RNA is filed under the name Glomeromycotina sp. RNAcentral describes it as "partial small subunit ribosomal RNA". The stretch from base 40 to 216 matches the Rfam family "Eukaryotic small subunit ribosomal RNA", at positions 686 to 864 of the family's 1831-position model. Lineage: Eukaryota; Fungi; Glomeromycota. The record is from RNAcentral.